RNAcentral lists this transfer RNA (71 nucleotides) under Loxodonta africana (African savanna elephant). It matches the Rfam family "tRNA". Rfam says of the family: Transfer RNA (tRNA) molecules are approximately 80 nucleotides in length. Their secondary structure includes four short double-helical elements and three loops (D, anti-codon, and T loops). Further hydrogen bonds mediate the characteristic L-shaped molecular structure. tRNAs have two regions of fundamental functional importance: the anti-codon, which is responsible for specific mRNA codon recognition, and the 3' end, to which the tRNAs corresponding amino acid is attached (by aminoacyl-tRNA synthetases). tRNAs cope with the degeneracy of the genetic code in two manners: having more than one tRNA (with a specific anti-codon) for a particular amino acid; and 'wobble' base-pairing, i.e. permitting non-standard base-pairing at the 3rd anti-codon position. Lineage: Eukaryota; Metazoa; Chordata; Mammalia; Proboscidea; Elephantidae. The record is from Rfam by way of RNAcentral.
GUGUUGAUGGUUUAAUGGUAGAAUUCUCACUUCCCAUGCAGGAGACCUGGGUUUGAUUCCUGGCCAAUACA